UACAGAGGCCUCGAGCGUUAGGCGGAAUCACUGGGCUUAAAGCGUGUGUAGGCGGAUUGGUAAGUCCCUUGUGAAAUCCCACAGCUUAACUGUGGAACUGCUCGGUAUACUGCUGAUCUUGAGCCACUCAGGGGCUACCGGAACAAAUGGUGGAGCGGUGAAAUGCGUAGAUAUCGGGAGGAACACCUGUGGCGAAAGCGACUCACUGGACCACAACUGACGCUGAGGCGCGAAAGCUAGGGGAGCAAACAGG
Molecule: ribosomal RNA, 253 nt
Filed under: uncultured bacterium
Lineage: Bacteria
Description: partial 16S ribosomal RNA
Rfam family: Bacterial small subunit ribosomal RNA
Source: RNAcentral